This is a non-coding RNA of Mycena galopus ATCC 62051, 93 nucleotides long. NCBI's taxonomy places the organism in Eukaryota, Fungi, Basidiomycota, Agaricomycetes, Agaricales, Mycenaceae. The record is from the annotation of a GenBank genome assembly.
GCAUUGAUGGGGUAGUGGUAACCUGGGUUGUUGCCAUACUGUGAUACGUUGUUGCGUUCUUGACCUGCUGGGGGUUCAAUUCCCCUUAAUGCA